GACAGAGGCCUCAAGCGUUAGGCGGAAUCACUGGGCUUAAAGCGUGUGUAGGCGGAUGCCUAAGUACCUUGUGAAAUCCCACGGCUCAACCGUGGAACUGCUGGGUAUACUGGGCGUCUUGGGCCAUUCAGGGGCGACUGGAACAAGCGGUGGAGCGGUGAAAUGCGUAGAUAUCAUUUGGAACGCCAAUGGUGAAAACAACUCGCUGGGGAAGUGCUGACGCUGAGACACGAAAGCCAGGGGAGCGAACGGG
Molecule: ribosomal RNA, 253 nt
Filed under: uncultured bacterium
Lineage: Bacteria
Description: partial 16S ribosomal RNA
Rfam family: Bacterial small subunit ribosomal RNA
Source: RNAcentral